RNAcentral lists this transfer RNA (115 nucleotides) under Pavo cristatus (Indian peafowl). It matches the Rfam family "tRNA". Rfam says of the family: Transfer RNA (tRNA) molecules are approximately 80 nucleotides in length. RNAcentral also lists the same sequence under 1 other name. Lineage: Eukaryota; Metazoa; Chordata; Aves; Galliformes; Phasianidae. The record is from Rfam by way of RNAcentral.
GUCAGGAUGGCCGAGUGGUCUAAGGCGCCAGACUCAAGGCGUACCGCGCCUUCCCAUGGCGGUUGGGUAUUCUGGUCUCCGAAUGGAGGCGUGGGUUCGAAUCCCACUUCUGACA